Molecule: ribosomal RNA, 407 nt
Filed under: uncultured prokaryote
Also listed under: 1 other name
Description: bacterial SSU rRNA
Rfam family: Bacterial small subunit ribosomal RNA
Source: RNAcentral
UAGGGAAUAUUGCGCAAUGGGGGAAACCCUGACGCAGCAACGCCGCGUGAAGGAUGUAGGUCUUCGGAUUGUAAACUUCUUUGAUCAGGGAAGAAAGAAAUGACGGUACCUGAAAAACAAGCCACGGCUAACUACGUGCCAGCAGCCGCGGUAAUACGUAGGUGGCAAGCGUUGUCCGGAUUUACUGGGUGUAAAGGGCGUGUAGGCGGGGAUGCAAGUCAGAUGUGAAAUCCCGCGGCUCAACCGCGGAACUGCAUCUGAAACUGCGUCUCUUGAGUGUCGGAGGGGAAAGUGGAAUUCCUAGUGUAGCGGUGAAAUGCGUAGAUAUUAGGAGGAACACCAGUGGCGAAGGCGGCUUUCUGGACUGUAACUGACGCUGAGGCACGAAAGCGUGGGGAGCAAACAGG